Molecule: ribosomal RNA, 512 nt
Filed under: uncultured bacterium
Lineage: Bacteria
Description: bacterial SSU rRNA
Rfam family: Bacterial small subunit ribosomal RNA
Source: RNAcentral
GACGAACGCUGGCGGCGUGGAUUAGGCAUGCAAGUCGAACGGUAGGAUACCUUCGGGUAUCUGAGAGUGGCGAACUGGUGAGUAACACGUAGGUUAUCUACCCUCAAGACGGGGACAACCCAGGGAAACUUGGGCUAAUACCGGAUGUGAGCAACUUUUAGUUGUUUGAAAGGUGGCGUAAGCUGUCGCUUGGGGAUGAGCCUGCGUCCUAUUAGUUAGUUGGUGAGGUAACGGCUCACCUAGGCAAUGAUAGGUAGGCGGCCUUAACGGGUGGUCGCCCACACUGGGAUUGAGAUACGGCCCAGACUCCUACGGGAGGCAGCAGUCGAGAAUAGUCUACAAUGGUCGGAAGACUGAUAGUGCGACGCCGCGUGAACGAUGAAUCCCUUCGGGGUGUAAAGUUCUUUUAUAUGUGAGCAGUGCUUCUUAUAUUAACAGUAUGGGGAGAGAGAUAUUAGCAUAUGAAUAAGCAAACGGCUAAACUCCGUGCCCAGCAGCCGACGGUAAAACGU